ACUGUCACAGAGCUGGAAAUUUUUGGAUCCUUUUAGUUCAUCUGAUUUAGGUUAUAAAUUAUGAUGGUUGUUCCUUCUUACCCCCAACCUGACAACUAUUAACAUGAUGUACACUCAUUUUAAAAUAGUUUUGCAGUCUGUUUUCUCUAUUGAGUGGCUACAUUGUGUUAUUAAAUGUGUAUAUUUAUAUCGAAUACAGAUGUUCAAUAAUAUAUCUGUAAUGUACAUAUGUGUUGCUAAAUGUAGAUACAGAAGAAACUAUAUGGAGUCUGAUAAUUAAAUGAUUAUUAAAUGAUACUUGUAAUGAAAGUCUGCCCCAAAAAGUGACCAGAUUUUUAUUGGGGUUGCUGUGUAUCUCCAGGAAGAAGAGGAGGGGUCAGAAGACGAUAGCAAUGUGAAGCCAGACUUCAUGGUCACUCUGAAAACCGAUUUCAGUGCACGAUGCUUUCUGGACCAAUUCGAAGAUGACGCUGAUGGAUUUAUUUCCCCAAUGGAUGAUAAAAUACCAUCAAAAUGCAGCCAGGACACAGGGCUUUCAAAUCUCCAUGCUGCCUCAAUACCUGAACUCCUGGAACACCUCCAGGAAAUGAGAGAAGAAAAGAAAAGGAUUCGAAAGAAACUUCGG
This 625-nucleotide small RNA is filed under the name Pan troglodytes (chimpanzee). Its description in RNAcentral is "retained intron". The record is from RNAcentral. Lineage: Eukaryota; Metazoa; Chordata; Mammalia; Primates; Hominidae.